ACUCCUACGGAAGGCAGCAGUGGGGAAUUUUGGACAAUGGGCGCAAGCCUGAUCCAGCCAUGCCGCGUGAGUGAAGAAGGCCUUCGGGUUGUAAAGCUCUUUCGGUGGGGAAGAAAUUGCACGGGCGAAUACCCUGUGUAGAUGACGGUACCUGGAGAAGAAGCACCGGCUAACUACGUGCCAGCAGCCGCGGUAAU
This 197-nucleotide ribosomal RNA is filed under the name uncultured bacterium. RNAcentral describes it as "partial 16S ribosomal RNA". It matches the Rfam family "Bacterial small subunit ribosomal RNA", at positions 335 to 524 of the family's 1533-position model. The record is from RNAcentral.